RNAcentral lists this long non-coding RNA (200 nucleotides) under Brassica napus (rape). Its description in RNAcentral is "long non-coding RNA (BNAP_LNC014423)". Lineage: Eukaryota; Viridiplantae; Streptophyta; Magnoliopsida; Brassicales; Brassicaceae. The record is from RNAcentral.
GUUUAGUUAAAAAGUCACGAGAAUACACUGACAAGGUUAGUUAAUCUUCAAACUAGAGUUCUGUUAUGCUCUGUGAAGGCGUAUUUAGGUUUUACUAGGAUGUUGUUGAAAAAUUCAUUACAGUUUGUGCUGAUUGCUUAAGAGCUUUCAUUGUAAAGCUUUAUUGAAAUAGAAAUAGAAGUUGAUUGUGUUGUUAAUUA